Molecule: long non-coding RNA, 606 nt
Filed under: Eucalyptus grandis
Lineage: Eukaryota; Viridiplantae; Streptophyta; Magnoliopsida; Myrtales; Myrtaceae
Description: long non-coding RNA (EGRA_LNC003204)
Source: RNAcentral
GGUCUGUGAAAUCUGCCUUUCCUCUAGAGCUCUGCUUGAUCAAUCUCCUACUUUGAAAGAAAAUAAAAGGUAUUUUUUUUUGUCAAUCACUGCAUGAUGUACAUCCAAACAAGAAGAAGGGAAAUGAAGAGUCCCUUCUCUUCCUUAUGGUCCAACUCCUUUCUUUUCUUUUCCCUUCAUUUCCCUCUCAACUUAAAUUGCCAAACAAAGUGGAAAAGAAAAGAACCCAAUCAUUUAGAAGAUCUGAAUUCCGGGGCCUCUUCCUCAUCGACCCGCCUUGCAUGGAGGACAUUACAAAGGCGGAGACAAACAGCAGAAAGGGAAUGACUUCGAAGUGCUCUUGAGCACUCCUCAGGUAAUCAAUGACUCCUUACUCUUCUCUUCCCCUCUGUUUCCAGCUUUGGUUGCUCCAUUUUCUUCUGAUGACUUGUGUGAGAGUUUUUUUUUUUUGAAGUAGCUCCGAAUUGAGUUCUGAUGAGUUUUUGAUCUGGGAUUAUAUAUAUGUAUGUUUUCUGUUUCCUGCUUUCUUUUGAGUCUCUGCUUCAUCAAUCUCUUUUACUCUUUGAAUUAGUAUAAUCCUCUCGAGGUGGAAAAAGAAAAACCCAC